Molecule: long non-coding RNA, 887 nt
Filed under: Marmota monax (woodchuck)
Lineage: Eukaryota; Metazoa; Chordata; Mammalia; Rodentia; Sciuridae
Source: RNAcentral
UAAAAUUACCCAUCCCACAGGCCCUCAAUUGAUGACAUGAAAGCAGAUUUAUGUGAUCCUCUUCCUCUCACUGAUUGAUGUGGCCCUGAAAUAUAGCAUUCACACUUUGAUAUCUCCAGUAGUCAGUAGUUAAACUUGAAUGUACCUGUGCAGUCCUUAUUCCAUACUCAUUAGGGGACUGAGGACUGAAGGAUCCUCAUCUGAGUCCUUAUUUGUCUUGUUGUUCUUCCAUGAUCUCUCAUCCUAAUUUUAUUUCACUUAUUUUAUUAGUGUAGGUUGUAGGUGUGCAAAUCAGUACCUAAAAUAUGAACAAAGCAGAUCAUUAAAUGCGAACAUUUCCACAUGAUAGAAGCUCAAAAUAACUAUCUCACUGAAUGGUGACACAGUCCCUAGAACUCCUCAAAUGGCUAAUACAAGUAUAUAGUAGGAUUUUGGUGUCUAAGAGAUACCUGUCUUCUACAGGGAUAUAAUGACUGAAAUGGAAGACAGUGAUAGAAGGCAGUUUGACUUAGCUUGCUGGUAUAAAUUUCUUCAAAAACAUCAAAAUUUGAAUUUUAAAUUAUUUCAUUGAUUUUAUGUCUAUGUCUAUAUAUUGUGUAUUUCAUUUAAGUUUUGUAAUUAAUGAAAUUUUCACAGUUGCAUAUCAAAGAUAAUUUCCUGUCCAAUUGUGCUUUCAUUCGGUACUAUGUUUGUUAUGGCUACAAAAUUUUAUUGAUCUUGUCAGGUUUUUCAGAAAUGAAUUUGAGAAACAAGUUUGUGUCAGGGCUCCCAACUCUGAGGAGCUUAUUUUUGCAUACACAUUCAUCCUAUAUUAUUAUAAUGCACACAUGUUCAUCCUAUAUUAUGCUGCCAAAUAAAUCCUGGACUUGUAUUUUUGGUCAUGAUCC